This 27-nucleotide non-coding RNA is filed under the name Rattus norvegicus (Norway rat). Lineage: Eukaryota; Metazoa; Chordata; Mammalia; Rodentia; Muridae. The record is from RNAcentral.
UCUACAUUCUGCUCGGCUGCAGCCACA